RNAcentral lists this long non-coding RNA (534 nucleotides) under Mytilus galloprovincialis (Mediterranean mussel). The record is from RNAcentral. Lineage: Eukaryota; Metazoa; Mollusca; Bivalvia; Mytilida; Mytilidae.
GUGAAAAUGGGGAAUGUGUCAUAGAGACAAUAACCAGAUCUUAGAGCAGACAACAGUCGAAGGUUACCAAUGGAUCUUUAAUGCAGGGAGAAACUCCUACACCCAAAGGAUUGCUUUUGCUGGCCCUUUAACACAAUAACCAUGAUAACAAAAAUGUAAACUAUUUCAACUAGUCACUUGUUCAGGUGGAACUUUUAAACCAGAGGAAGAACAAAGUAACUACAAUGUAGUUAAUAAGUUCUGGAGAUUUUUCGGCUAGUUAGUUCUUUCCGCCUGGAACUUUCCAACGUCGGAACAAAAGAGCAUUUACAAUAACUUGGACAUCAUACUAAAAUCAGAAGUAUACACAAGAAAUUAAUAAAAUUUUAAAAAAUGUACAAAACAAUUAUGCAAAAUAAAUAUGAUAUACAGCAACAAUCACCGCAUUCGUGGGUCCUCACUAUGGACAGGUACAUACAGAAUGUGGCGGCUUAAACAUCUUAACUGGCACAAAACUCUCCCCUAACAUAGGACAGUGUAUGUGUAUAAUCUCAG